UAGGGAAUCUUCCGCAAUGGGCGAAAGCCUGACGGAGCAACGCCGCGUGAGUGAUGAAGGUCUUCGGAUCGUAAAACUCUGUUGUUAGAGAAGAACAGCGCAUAGAGUAACUGUUAUGCGUGUGACGGUAUCUAACCAGAAAGCCACGGCUAACUACGUGCCAGCAGCCGCGGUAAUACGUAGGUGGCAAGCGUUGUCCGGAUUUAUUGGGCGUAAAGCGAGCGCAGGCGGUCAAUUAAGUCUGAUGUGAAAGCCCCCGGCUCAACCGGGGAGGGUCAUUGGAAACUGGUUGACUUGAGUGCAGAAGAGGAGAGUGGAAUUCCAUGUGUAGCGGUGAAAUGCGUAGAUAUAUGGAGGAACACCGGUGGCGAAAGCGGCUCUCUGGUCUGUAACUGACGCUGAGGCUCGAAAGCGUGGGGAGCGAACAGG
This 429-nucleotide ribosomal RNA is filed under the name Bacteroidota bacterium. RNAcentral's name for it is "Bacteroidetes bacterium partial 16S ribosomal RNA". It matches the Rfam family "Bacterial small subunit ribosomal RNA", at positions 355 to 776 of the family's 1533-position model. Lineage: Bacteria; Pseudomonadati; Bacteroidota. The record is from RNAcentral.